AACGUAGGGGACAAGCGUUAUCCGGAUUUACUGGGCGUAAAGCGCAUGUAGGUGGCCUUUCAAGUUGGACGUGAAAGCUCCCGGCUUAACUGGGAGAGGUCGUUCAAAACUGGGAGGCUUGAGGAUGGAACAGGAGAGCGGAAUUCCCGGUGUAGUGGUGGAAUGCGUAGAUAUCGGGAGGAACACCAGUGGCGAAAGCGGCUCUCUGGUCCAUAACUGACACUGAGAUGCGAAAGCGUGGGGAGCGAACGGG
This 253-nucleotide ribosomal RNA is filed under the name uncultured bacterium. RNAcentral's name for it is "partial 16S ribosomal RNA". It matches the Rfam family "Bacterial small subunit ribosomal RNA", at positions 524 to 776 of the family's 1533-position model. The record is from RNAcentral.